GAAGAUUCGAACUUCCUUUAGUGCUCUCUUGGAUUCCCUCUUCUCUUAUUUCUCAAUUGCUCUCUCUCUUUCUUCCUCUGUAUCUCUUGCUUGUACGCUCUUUGACUCUCUCUUUCUUGUGUUAGGGUUCUUCUUCUCUCGGCUUUUUUUUUAUACGCAACGUAGAAGAUUUGUAAUACAAAAAAAUUUGUGCCAGCAAACACUUGUGCCAGCAAACACGAGCCCACCUGAAGCAUGAAUUCGUAUUGAACCAUUUACAUUACAGAUCAUUGACACCCUAAUUCAAGUCAGAUGCAAUUCCUGUGAAUCUCUGCAACUCCGGCAAAAUCUCAAACCUCUACCACCUCUGUCAAACUCUGAAGCUCGCGACACCUUUCGGCUCAACCAAUUUCGAGCUUUGUCGCCAACUCCCCAAUGUCCUCUCGAUCGCUAUUUCAAGAGACAAAAUCCAAUCCAGGUCUGCCAUUUCCGGUAUGCCUUCGUCGUCGACUCUAUCUGGUAUCUUCAACAGUCCUCACACGUCACCAUUCAAGCCCUGAAGCCUCAAUUCCUCUUUGAUUCUUCCCGAUAGUGAAACUAGAUGCAAAUUUUUUCAAACCAGAAAAAAAUUCAUCUCCUGCGAUUCCUCUUUGCUGUUAUUCUCUGUAAUCUCAGCGGAAAACAGUUUUUUUUUGUGUGAACAUUCCAUGUUCAUCUGCUUAGCUCUUCGCAAGUUCACCAACGAACCACUUUGUCUUGUUCAUUGUUUCCGAUGAUUCCAGCUUCUUCCAGGGAACAGCCCAUGUUCUUCAGCUACUUAGAUGACCUCAGCUCCACCUGGAAUCAGUAUUUCCUUACUGCAAUUCCAGCCACCUCCAGGUAACUCAUUUAACCCAUUAAUCAAUCUGAUUUUACUUUAUCGACAUAAGAACAUCUCCAAAAAACUGACCCGUUUCUAUGUUCUUCUUCCUGCGAGAGUACACUGUCGAUAAUAGAGUUACCUGGAGCUGCACCACCCUUCAAACUAGGUUGAGAAGAUCGCAGCAAACCUGAGCUUUUUGUCCAGGUACAAGUAACAGAAUAGAACAAUAUAAGAAGAAGACUUGAAUCACAACACAAAGAAGACUCGAACUUUCUUUAGUGCUCUCUUGGAUUUCCUCUUCUCUCCUUUCUCAAUUGCUCUCUCUCUCUCUCUCUCUCUCUCUCCCUCCCUCUCUCUCUCUCUCUCUCUCCUUCUCUCUCUCUCUCUCUCUCUCUCUCUCUCUCUCUCUCUCUCCCUGUAUCUCUUGCUUGUAUGCUCUUUGACUCUCUCUUUCUUGUGUUAGGGUUCUUCUUCUCUCGGCUUUUUUUUAUACUCAACGAAGAAAUUUGUAAUGUAAAGGAAUUUGAGCCGGCAAACACUUGAACUCACCUGAAGCAUGAAUUCGUAUUGGGCCAUAUAGAAAGAAUAAUAAGGCCAUUAUCCCACAGUUUCUCUCCAUAUAUAUCCUUAAUAAUGGAGUAGAUUUGCUUACAACUUGGUGCAUAUAUUGAUAACACGCAAGAAAAAAUAACGUAAUUUAUCAGUUUGGUAUAUGCAGCAUCUUCAAGUAACUUAAAAAUUGGAAAAUAGUUCACUGGCUCCCUUUUUGUGCUACAGAUUAUGA
Molecule: long non-coding RNA, 1625 nt
Organism: Eutrema salsugineum
Lineage: Eukaryota; Viridiplantae; Streptophyta; Magnoliopsida; Brassicales; Brassicaceae
Exons: 5
Source: RefSeq, a predicted model, not a curated record